Long non-coding RNA from Megachile rotundata (alfalfa leafcutting bee), 1044 nucleotides. The record is from RefSeq and is a predicted model, not a curated record. Lineage: Eukaryota; Metazoa; Arthropoda; Insecta; Hymenoptera; Megachilidae.
CGAAAGGCGUAUCCACUAACUUGGUCACGUUCUCCGAUCUUAUUUCGGUGUACAAGUCAACGUAUUCGUGGACGCAGCUGCAAACGAAAGAUUUUCAUGAUGACUCGUGGCCAAAUGACGCGAUACAGGAUCGACUGACACUUACGCAGGAACGUCUCGCUUCUUCGAACGCUGUGUAACUAACCUGUACUGCUACGCGGACAAAGUAGCAAGAACAAGAUAAAAGCGGGAGAAACGAAAUUGUUCCAAGAAGCAUGCCAGAGUACCGAAGCCAUAGUGCAUCCUAGAGAUACAAUACCGAUCGCGUCGAACACACAGCAUCUAUUUUAUCGACCCAAUUCGAGAUGAUGGAUCGAUAAACGUAAUCUAUGGACAGUACGAAGCAUGGGUGCAAGUGCUAACGCAUCGCAUCGUGUCGCGUCGCGCCGUAUCGGCGAAUCGAUCCUUCCUGUCCUCUAUAAACUAACCAAACGUAUGUCGCAUCGAAUCAAAAGGUAAAUUACGCAAGGACAAAUCAUUGCAAGUAAUACGUAUCGUAUACAAACACGAUUCCAGAUGAUCGAAAUGACGUUGCUUCGAGGAAGUAUCCCUAGCACGUGUCGAGUUUAUUUGUCAUUAUUUGCCACGCCCUCAAAAUCACGUAUCCCCCUUUCAAACGCGCUCUUUUCGAGUUUUGCCCAGGAAUAUCGGACGCGCUCAUUGAUACGAAGAAGUCAUGAAGUUCGCCAGAUAAACGAAAGAACUAGGCUGACAGAAUCGAAACCGCGCCCUUUACUGUCUACUUUAUUCAGAUGAAAUCGACAAACAGGAUUAUUCGAUUCGCCGUAUUUGUAUCGUUCAAACUUUACAAAGUAACGCGCGAUUUUGAAAUCAAUUUUUCUUCGUACAAAUAUACUCCGUACAGUUGCGAGAAAAAUUCCGCGAAUCGGAACAGAAAAAAGUAAACGAUUAUCGACGAAUCGUCGUCCUUCCGUAAAAAGAUAAACGGACUGUUUCAAUCGUACUGGUUCGUUUUCCUCGAUAAACAUACAAGGAUAUGAAACG